GUGCUCUCCUCAGCGGCACAUAGACUAAAAUUGGAAUGACACAGAGAUUAACAUGUCCCUUGAGCAAGGAUGACAGGCAAAUUAGUGAAACGUUCCAUAUUAAA
This is a small nuclear RNA of Molossus molossus (Pallas's mastiff bat), 104 nucleotides long. The record is from RefSeq and is a predicted model, not a curated record. NCBI's taxonomy places the organism in Eukaryota, Metazoa, Chordata, Mammalia, Chiroptera, Molossidae.